UGGGGAGGGCCGGACAGAGCAGCCGAGGCCCGCUGACCCUGUCCGCCCCUUCCCAGG
RNAcentral lists this non-coding RNA (57 nucleotides) under Sus scrofa (pig). Lineage: Eukaryota; Metazoa; Chordata; Mammalia; Artiodactyla; Suidae. The record is from RNAcentral.